GCCAUGCAAGGAACAGGUCUCCAGAUAGCCAGAUGCCCAGUCGCACAGAAGCAGAAUAUCCGAGUGACUAAGGGAACUGCAGCAGGGAAGCGAUAGCUCUCCAUGGUUGUGUGUGGGACCCACCAGCGGCAGGAUCCUCUGCACUUCUGCAGCUGGAGAUGGCUGUGGCUAUACGGGUCAGGACUGACACUUCUAAAAGACCUGGGAUAUGUGAGGAGAAAAAUGCCAACCACAUCAAUGGGUAUAUUUCUGGAAAGUACUUGGAUGGUGCUGUGUUGGCAACUUGAGAAGAACGAGGAGAUGAAAUUAAUGGAACGUCUUGUGGAGGAGGAAAGAAGAAAACUAAAACUGAGUAGCUUUCACCUCAGAAGCUUUGAGCAUCUAUUUCUAAUCAAGUGAAGUUCGGAUCAGAGAAACUCUUGUCAUUUGUGUCCUUUGUUUACUUCUAGAGUAAAUCAAAA
RNAcentral lists this long non-coding RNA (461 nucleotides) under Struthio camelus australis. RNAcentral describes it as "lncRNA (ENSSCUG00000011364.1)". Lineage: Eukaryota; Metazoa; Chordata; Aves; Struthioniformes; Struthionidae. The record is from RNAcentral.